GUCACUAAAAGUAACUAAAUAGACGGCUUAUACAUGCUACAUGGACAUGAGAGAUAUGUCUUUGCAAAGCUUUAAGUGUCUACUUUUAAACGAAACAAAUUCUAAAAAAAAUAUUCUCCCUUUAUGUAAUCAGUAUAAAAGUAAAGAGAGGUACUGUUUCUCCUGUCUUACCUAAUUAUCUUUAAUGUGUGCCCGCCCACGCGCAGAGCGCUCUAUUCAUAAGAUAAUGUGCUAAGGCGAUCUAUGCAAACUGUAAACGCCCCUAACAGCGUCUUAAAAAGCAUCAAGUUUCAUCAGAUUCAUUCGCUUUCCUGCGCGUUUGGAAGAUGGCACGCUACUCAGGUGAGCAGGCUCUUCAGUGGUCCUGGACAGUGAGGAAGAGUUCACAUUUCCUCGGAAGAAGAACACGACUCUGACGAUGAACGUCUGUAUUUUGAAGAGCGACUUGAUCCAGCUGAAGAUACAGUUUCUGAUGAGAAUGUGGAUCCAUCACUCUCACAUUCACCUGCAAUUCCCACUAAGAGGGCACCCAGCAACACAGGCGAAAAUGAGAAAGACUAUAGCCCUAAUGAGAGUGCUCCAAAACCCCUUGCAAAAAAGGCCAAGAAAAACAUUCAGACAAGCAACAGGCAUUCAGCUCUGUCAUGGAAAACAGAUAGUGACACUGACAUGGUUCCACAGACUCUGAGAUUCCUACCUGCACGGGAACCUGGACCACAGCUGCGUCCUGCUGAUGAACACACUCCUAAGAGUCUCUUCAAAAUGUUCAAAAUGCAAGGAAUAAUGCCACCGCUGGUCGUUGGAACUGCAUGCUUUGCAAAGUACAGCUUGGUAAAAGGCAAGACACACCUUGGAAAUGCCAGGCAUGUGACAUUUACUUGUGUCUUCAGUUGAAAAGGAACUGUUUUCAAAAAUGGCACACAGGUGUGUGACUGUUCAGAUUCUCUGUUCACCACCUCUCACUGACCAUUGGGCUGCAAAGAUUAUCUAUAUGUGAUCAAGCAGGUUAUGUAUAGGGUGUAAAAGUGGGCUUUUUUUUAUAAACCUUACCUUUAUUUGCCUGUAUACACAAAAUGUGCCUUUGACCCUAGUUUAUAUGUGGAUUAUAUUGUUAACUUUAUUUUAAAUAAAAAAGAAAA
This is a long non-coding RNA of Megalobrama amblycephala (Wuchang bream), 1139 nucleotides long. RefSeq lists it as uncharacterized. The record is from RefSeq and is a predicted model, not a curated record. Lineage: Eukaryota; Metazoa; Chordata; Actinopteri; Cypriniformes; Xenocyprididae. The transcript has 3 exons.